Molecule: long non-coding RNA, 2174 nt
Organism: Onychostoma macrolepis
Lineage: Eukaryota; Metazoa; Chordata; Actinopteri; Cypriniformes; Cyprinidae
Exons: 4
Source: RefSeq, a predicted model, not a curated record
UAUUAGGCUAAUUAUUUAGCAAAAGCAAUGUUUAGUAUAAAAAUCAUGUUUUACAAAAGUGAUACAAAUCUUAAAAUAUAUAUAUAUUUUUUAUUUUGAUUUUAUCCCACUAUCAUACAUUUUGCACCAAUGUAUUGGUCGUAGAACUACAAAAUGAGUUUCAAAUUCGCGAUUUAAAGAAAGAUUUUAAGAGGUUUAUGAAUGCUGCAUGACUGUGACGUGUUUAAACGGACUCGCGUGCUGAAUUCGCGCGCUCAUUCAAACGCUGCAGCGGAGGGAGUUUCCAUGGAAACGGUGCGCAACACUGUAACUGACGAACAGUAAAUCUCCGUCUCUCGCUGCUGUUUUCACUGCUUUCAGAUGAGUUUAGUCCCUAAAAUCACACAAAUAUCACACACAACUUCCAGACACUUUCUUACAUGUAACUGACAUGUUUCUGUUGAAUAUUUACUUCACAGAAAUGUUUUACAGUCUUCGAAAAAGUCCGCUAGCAUCUGUUUUCAGACGAGGAGUGAUAAUAUAAUCUUUCUACAAAGGAAGAGAAGCUCCAAGAUUUCAAAAUUUCUGAAGGGAGCUGCUGACAGAAAUGCAGGAAACACAGAUUAUGAUGGCCGUGCAGCAGAGGAGCGCAGAGUCUCCUGUCGGACAACAUCUCUAAGUCGCUAUGAACCAUGUGACUAGAUGCUAUGUACCCAGCCUCAACCAUUCAGCAGAAGGACUGUGAAAGCGGGAACUCUUUGAACCAGCAGUGGCAGUUAUAGUGGAUAGUGGAUAGUAGUGGAUGAUGAGGGACUGACAUUAACCUGCCAAAAAAGGUUUCUCUGUGACAUCGCCGCGAAACCCCCUUUUUGGUUCUUUCUGUCACCUUUUUUUAAGAGUGUAGACGAGUGUGCAACUGACCAAUAACAACUGAGUAUUCCAGCAAGCUGUUUAUUAAUAUUGUGUAGAAGUGUACCAUAUGGGGUGAGGAUCAAGACAACCAAACCAAAGGUGGACUGUAACCUACUGGACUAUAUGAUAGACUUCAUACUGACCACUACUGCCAUGUAUGCAGCAUGAGACGUUUUUGAAAAGAGGGGCAUUUCCUUCACCAAGUAAAAGUGUGGAGGAUUCAUCUGGCCUUCAUCGGGCCUCAUGAGGUGACUCGGUGUAGAAUAAAUCAGCUUGCUUUAGGCUUGAAAUGACUGAAAUCUUCUCGUGAGUUGAUAUCAUUUAAACAUUCUUUAAAGUACUUCUCAUUUCUUGUGAAUGUAUUUUGUAGUAUGUGUAAAACUUUUCCACUGAAAGAACCUUUUUUACCGUUAUUGAUAUUGUAAUCAAGGUUGUUAAUGCGAUGGACUGCACACAUCUGUCUGUGUUGGGCUUGUGUUUACAGGUCGUAUAAAACUAGGCCUGGCUGCAACAACUAAUCGAUAAUUAAAAUAAUCAUCAACGAAUUUGAAUAGUGCAUCAAAACAAACAGACCGCUCAUAAUUCUGACUAAAAUACACAUUACAAAUAUUUUUUUGCUAGAAAUUAAGUGUAGGUUUAAAGCCCUACAUGUAACACAAGUAAUCAUAUUUAUGAGAGCAGUAACAGUAAAGGCACUAUUGUUGGAACUGUCCAUUAAUAUAAUAUAAUAUAAUUGCUCUGUUCAGACGAAUGAUUGUGUUUAUUCUUCGUACCUCUUACAAGUUAACAUUGUGUUUUUUUGUUUAAAUUGUUUUCAAUUCUGUUUCAAAAUAACAAGCAAUCUGUUGUUUUUAGGUUUAGAAUGUAAUGUUUGUAUUUUAACACUUUAAUGCUUAUAAUGAACAGCAGAGCCGACAUUGAGACAUUCUUUAUAUUUGUUUUCAUAGACAGGAUGUGAAAUUACAUUCUUUAAAAUAAUGAAUUAAAAUGAUCUUAAUUAAAAAAUUAUGUAUAUAUUUUAUUUAUUUAUUUAUUUGUCAUCCAAUUACUAGUAUUAAUUAAAAAAAUUACAAAUAAAUUGAUUAUCAAAAAAAUGUGUUAGUUGCAUGCAGCCCUACAUAAGAUAUUGUUAAAGAGGUCGGCGGUAUAAUGUUGUGUGUGAACACGAAGUCAUGUUUAUUUGUGCAACAUGUAAUUAAUUUCUAUAGAGAUAAUGCAUUAUUACAGUGAAACUAUUUGCUAUUUUUAUUUUGUAAAUUAGCAGAAAACCAUCUCUACCACUG